AGAGCAAAGACACAUUUUAGGAUCAAAGGUUGAUGCCUAGUGUACCUGUGGAACAUUUUGCCUAUGGAGUAGCGACCCUCCUGUUCGUGGACGCGCGGGCAGGACCGGCGGCGUCCGGAUGCCGAGGUGGUGACUUGGGGAGGUGAGGGCCCCCGCAUAGCUACGGAAUAACACUGGGACCGCAGCGUAAUCGCGGGUUCACAUUUAUUCCGGACUAGAACAAGACACAUUUUGCGAACAAAGGUUGAGUCUAGAUUAGUAAAGAAAUAAAAAGGUUAAAUUCCUCGUUUCAGUGGUUAAAAUUGUUGUGUGCCUGUCCCCUGACGAGUGUGAAAUUAAAUAAAGAGGGAAUUUGGAGCCACAUAGAGAUAGACGGGCAUAAUUGGGUGUAUUACUCUGUGGUGUAAUAAAAAAAUAAAAAUAAAAAAGAGAGAUAGUAAGAGGUGUGUAGUGGAGAAUUAUGACGCUGUCAAGGUAGGCGUGUUGCCUGCUUAUCUGUUUAACAUGUGAUGAAAAUGAAAUUAAAUAAAUCUCUUAGUGUGUUAAUACAGGAAGCUGCGGACCUGGACCAACUGCCCCCACAAGCACAGCGGCCGAAGCAAAAUUAUAGGUAAUGGGAACCACACCCAGCACGAAUCAGCAGCUGUGAAAAAGACAGCAGCGAGGAGAGAAUUAGAGGAGAAAUUAAGAGAAGUUUUAACACAUAAAAUUGGGGCCAACGGACUUGUGGAGGUUGGGAAGGCGUCCGGAGCAUCACAACAAAAAGGUGAAACAAAAACACACAAGCAGAGAAAUCUGAGAGAAAGGCUCCUUUUAAGGUAACGCCUAGUUUGAGAAAAAGAUCAAAUUAACCUGCUUGCCUACAAAUGCACAUACACGCAAUGAAGAAACAGCUUACACUCAUGAACACGUGAAGAUUUUCCAGCAAGGCUAAAGCAGCGAAACUUAACAUACAUCUGUUGUUAAAGGAUAAAUACAUUACUGACAAAUAAACCCUCUGGGUUGCAGGACAACAAUUUAACUUCAAAGAAAAA
Astatotilapia calliptera (eastern happy) is the source of this 1034-nucleotide long non-coding RNA. Lineage: Eukaryota; Metazoa; Chordata; Actinopteri; Cichliformes; Cichlidae. The record is from Ensembl.